This is an unclassified non-coding RNA of Pongo abelii (Sumatran orangutan), 148 nucleotides long. It matches the Rfam family "Metazoan signal recognition particle RNA". From Rfam's summary of the family: The signal recognition particle (SRP) is a universally conserved ribonucleoprotein. The record is from Ensembl. Lineage: Eukaryota; Metazoa; Chordata; Mammalia; Primates; Hominidae.
GCCAGGCAUGGUGGUGCGUGCCUGUAAUCCCAGCUACUCAGGAGGCUGAGGCAGGAGAAUCGCUUGAACCCAGGAGGCGGAGGUUGCAGUGAGCCAAGAUCCAGCCACUGCACUCCAGCCUGGGUGACAGAGCGAGACUCCAUCUCAA